This 660-nucleotide ribosomal RNA is filed under the name Triticum aestivum (bread wheat). Its description in RNAcentral is "partial small subunit ribosomal RNA". Lineage: Eukaryota; Viridiplantae; Streptophyta; Magnoliopsida; Poales; Poaceae. The record is from RNAcentral.
AUGGGUCCUGCUGCUAUGUUGAACAAAGAGCAUACUCAAAGCAGCAGCAAGCCGAAUGAGGAGUUUCAACAUCUACAUCGCCCUGAGCUGCUCAUUGCCGUGGCGCGUGGCGACUUCAAUGAAAUUAAGCGCCUUCUUUUUCUUCUUCUUCUUCUUCUUCUUCACAAGGAAGGGGAAGGGGAAGGGGAAGAUGAAGAUGCAGCGCACCAGCCGGUGGAACUUGUCCUCCAUGUCGACGAGAAAAUCACCGGCAUCAAGGAUACCGUCGUGGCCGACAUCACCGGUGCAGGCCAUGUGGCGGCGUCUAGUGGAGACGCCGAUCAAUUCUUAAAGUGCGCAACGCUGAUCGCCGACGAAGCCAGUCACCUCCUCGGCGCCCGCAACCGGAAGGGCGACACCCCCCCGCACUGCGCCGCCCGGUUCGGGAAUGCUAGGAUGGUCUCUCAUCUCUUGGCUCUGGCAAGAGCCACUGGAAAUGAUGAUGAGAGGGUGAAGGUGAUCCUAAGAGUCCAGAACAACAAGCAAGAGACGGUGCUGCACGAAGCCGUCCGUUUGGAAGCCAUGGAAAUAAUCGACCCACAGCUAGCUCGUUUUCCGCUGACCGCCCUUGUACUUGGCCCUCUCGCUGGGUCACAGGGACAUUGCCCGGCUGCUCUUUGA